CCCAAUAGAUUUCUCACACAUGCAGUCGAGCGAAUGACGUGAAGCUUGCUUCUCUGAUUUACCGGCGGACGGCUGAGUAACACGUGGGCAACCUGCCCUACAGAUCGGGAUAACUCAGGAAAACCUGGUCUAAUACCGGAUAAUCCUUCGAAUCACAUGUUUUGAAGUUGAAAGGCGCUUCGGCGUCACUGUAGGAUGGGCCCGCGGCGCAUUAGCUAGUUGUGGGAGAAACGGCCUACCCAGGCAUCGAUGCAUAUCCGACCUGAGAGCGCGAUCGUCCACAUUGGCACUGACCCAUUUCUAAAAAAAAAUACGGGAGGCGGCAGUCCCUCCUCUUCCACAAUGGACGAAAGUCGGAUGCAGCGACGGCGCGAGAGAGAUGUAGGUUUUCAGAUCAUAAAUCUCUGUUGUAAGGGAAGAACAAGUACGUUAGGAAAUGACGGUACCUUGACGGUACCUUAUUACAAGGCCACGGCUACCUACGUGCCAGCAGCCUAGGUAAUACGUAGGUGGUGGCGUUGUCUUGAUUUAUUGGGCGUA
Molecule: ribosomal RNA, 540 nt
Filed under: Kurthia gibsonii
Lineage: Bacteria; Bacillati; Bacillota; Bacilli; Caryophanales; Caryophanaceae
Description: bacterial SSU rRNA
Rfam family: Bacterial small subunit ribosomal RNA
Source: RNAcentral